UGUAAGUCUGCCUCUAAGAGAAGAUAGACAGUUUCAAAUUCAAAUGACUAUCUAAUCUGCCAUUUUGUUACUUGGUUAGCUUUGGAAACUAAUGUUAGCAUAGCUCAAAAGGCAUCGAAAAGAGCAAAUGGACAAAAAGGAGUACAAGGAAUACCAGAGCAGUUGUCGACUAGUGUUAAGUGAUUCUUUAACCCAGUGUUGUCUUUGUCUGCAAUGUCUGUUAUUUACAGUAUAGUAUUUGUUUAAAGAACUCACUGAAACGUUAGCUGUCAAGAGACAUUAACUGCUAGUGGCUAGUUACGUUAGCUUACAUUAAUGCUAACUGUUUCUUCCAAACUGAAAAGUUUAUCAGUUAGUUUUUCUUUAAUAAUACUAUGCUUUAUGAAUAUUUUCAAACAGAAUAAUGCAUGUACAGAGAUAUGUUAUAUCCGGCUACCAUCUUUGUCUGGAUUAUAAUUCCUAAAUCUAAAUACAUUUUUGAAAAGGGUUCAAAUAUUUUUUAUCCAGAUGGUUGGAGGAGUUUGAGUAUUCCUAAAUGUAAGCGGUAGCUGUUGUCUGUAAGAAUCUUCUUGGUAUUUCAAUGCUAUUUUCAAUGAUUUAUUGAGAAGAAAAGUAUCAAUGCUUGGUCAGAUAGUUAAAUUCAUUCUCUGGCUAGCUGCUAGCAACUGUUGAUUUCGGUCAUCUGCAUCCCAGUAUGCAAAGCACACCUGGAUAUGGGAGCCAUUUAGCUCAAACUUGUAGAGUACGCCUAGUAGUUAGUUAGUAGUUGUUCUCGCCACAAAUUAACCACUCCAGAGUUAGUUUCAGACCAGGCUGAGACCACAUUUCCCAAAGAUGGUUUUUGUCAUUUUAGGUUGUUCAAGUGCUCAUUUUUCUGACACGUUUGUUUUUAAUUAGUUAUGUGAUGAUAUUAAAAAUGGGGUGCGACAUCAUGAUUGACAGCUGUGAUUGACAGCCUCCCUCAAACCUGAGUGACUGCAGCAACUUCUGAUGCAAAAUGCAAAUGUUUGUUUUCAUCUGUAAUUCACAACUAGCUGUAGCUGCUAGUUACCGGCUGGUUUAACGUCACACAAGCAAGCAAGAUGGCAGCUCCCAGAGAUGAGAUAUUUUCACUUUACUUUUGUAUAGCGGUCAGAAGCGGAGACGGGUCAUCCAUCUUUAUAUAAAAUAUAUGGUUCAGACCUGCCCAAACAAAUCGCACCAAGUGGGAAAACAAACUACCGUCCAAUUCAACCAGACUAAAAAGUGCAGGUCUGAAAACGCCCUAAAACUUAAGUAGACUGCCAACCUUCUUUUGGGAGAAAAAAAGUGGCACAACACUAAUGAACAAUACAAAAUUAUACAACAUUACCUUCAUUUAGCAGACGCUUUUGUCCAAAGCGACCUCCAUUCAAACUAAUUAGAAGUAGCAGAUGUCAUAUUAAAGAAAUGUGCUCUCUUUUCAGCAUUAACCUGCAGGACCUCCAUCAUUUUCUCCACCCUGCGGCCGCCCUGACUCAUCUCCAUUGUAUCUCCCUGUGGCAUCCAAGGAUCGGUCUUUAAUAUUGCAGGGAGUAAUGCAGUAAGAAGGAGCAGCCACUGCGAACUGUGAGAUGAAGAGCUGCAGAUGACACACUUCCACCUCCUCAGCGAGCAGUGCUCUAGUGGCUGGCAGGCAGUGACACACAUUCCAGCAGUGACAGUGAACAGGGCUGGAGCCACUCUCACAGAUGGACCUUGAACUUUUUAAAGGGACAUCUGGCCUCGCAGUAAUGCCCCACCGGCGGCCCUCACUGCCCAGCUACAAACUGUAACUCUAUAGCCUCAUUGUCACGCUCCAUAUCCUCCCGCUGACCCCAAGCCCAAUUAUACAGCUGACCCAGGCUUGAUGAUAUAACCUUGGGCGUCUUUUGGGGGCUGCUGGGGCUCAGGGGUGCACCUCUUGUCUAUCAUGACAUGUCAGCUCUGCGCGUUAACCAGACACUUCCCUGAGUGGUCCCAGUGGGGGUUUAGGAGGAAGAGUGGCUGCCAUGCAAGGUCCAGUAUAUUUCAACACAUUGCCUCAGUUAGGUUUGCUUAUACAUCAACAAUAUAAUGAUAAGAAAAUAGUGAGUGAAGGUGUCAAAUGUGUCAUUUCUAGUACAACUUUUUAAAAAAUCUUCCCAGUGUUUCCAUAAAUAUUGAGUACGUACAUCAUAAGCAGAGGAAUCUACCGAUAUUUAAUCAAAAAGCAAAGGGUUAUAGAUUUUUUGACAGGUUUAAUCCAGCAGUAGUGUUCCCAAAAAAUUUGAAAUACAGUAUAAAUGUUGGGACACAGUGUGUUUACCUCUACUGAAAUCUUUUCUGAAUGUCAAGCAGCACUAAAUGAGGCUCUAUUGUAUGUAGAAACGACAUGUAUGCUCGCUGAAUCUUUUAGACAUAUCUAUAGUCUCCAUGCAUGCUCAGCAGCUGCCAUGCAUUAAUGUGCAGCUUGCUUAGUAUGCACUAUAAGCUCUGGAAAGGCUCCCUGUCACUGGUGAUGUGUUCCUUAAUGGAUGAGGAGUUGAUUUACAUUUCCAAAGGUAUGUGCAUAGGCUACAGCAGCGCAUGAAUAUCUGCUGGAAAUGGCAGUAAACAUGGCUGUUUUUGUUUUUUGUAGAAUUUCAGGGCAGCUUCGACUACACAAAUGUAGAAUACACAAACAAGGGGUUG
Thunnus maccoyii (southern bluefin tuna) is the source of this 2670-nucleotide long non-coding RNA. RefSeq lists it as uncharacterized. Lineage: Eukaryota; Metazoa; Chordata; Actinopteri; Scombriformes; Scombridae. The transcript is spliced from 3 exons. The record is from RefSeq and is a predicted model, not a curated record.